RNAcentral lists this ribosomal RNA (463 nucleotides) under uncultured bacterium. Its description in RNAcentral is "partial 16S ribosomal RNA". It matches the Rfam family "Bacterial small subunit ribosomal RNA", at positions 339 to 795 of the family's 1533-position model. The record is from RNAcentral.
CUACGGGUCGCUCCAGUGAGGAAUAUUGCGCAAUGGGCGAAAGCCUGACGCAGCGACGCCGCGUGGAGGAUGAAGGUCUUCGGAUUGUAAACUUCUGUUAAGUGGGGCGAAAUGUGCGGUUAUAAUACAGCCGCAAGAUGACAGUACCACUAGAGAAAGCACUGGCUAAUCUCGUGCCAGCAGCCGCGGUAAUACGAGAGGUGCAAGCGUUAUUCGGAAUAAUUGGGCGUAAAGGGUGCGCAGGCGGUUUAUUAAGUCAACUGUUUAAUUUCUCGGCCUAACUGAGAAUCAGCAGUAGAACUGAUAAGCUUGAGUAUGAGAGAGGGGAGUGGAAUUCUCGGAGUAGCGGUAAAAUGCGUAGAUCUCGAGAGGAACACCGAUGGCGAAGGCAGCUCCUUGGCUCAUUACUGACGCUCAUGCACGAAAGCGUGGGGAGCAAACAGGAUUAGAUACCCGCGUAGUC